Molecule: ribosomal RNA, 508 nt
Filed under: uncultured bacterium
Lineage: Bacteria
Description: partial 16S ribosomal RNA
Rfam family: Bacterial small subunit ribosomal RNA
Source: RNAcentral
GACGAACGCUGGCGGCGUGCCUAAUACAUGCAAGUCGAACGCUUCUUUCCCCCCGAGUGCUUGCACUCAAUUGGAAAGAGGAGUGGCGGACGGGUGAGUAACACGUGGGUAACCUACCCAUCAGAGGGGGAUAACACUUGGAAACAGGUGCUAAUACCGCAUAACAGUUUAUGCCGCAUGGCAUAAGAGUGAAAGGCGCUUUCGGGUGUCGUUGAUGGAUGGACCCGCGGUGCAUUAGCUAGUUGGUGAGGUAACGGCUCACCAAGGCCACGAUGCAUAGCCGACCUGAGAGGGUGAUCGGCCACACUGGGACUGAGACACGGCCCAGACUCCUACGGGAGGCAGCAGUAGGGAAUCUUCGGCAAUGGACGAAAGUCUGACCGAGCAACGCCGCGUGAGUGAAGAAGGUUUUCGGAUCGUAAAACUCUGUUGUUAGAGAAGAACAAGGACGUUAGUAACUGAACGUCCCCUGACGGUAUCUAACCAGAAAGCCACGGCUAACUACGUG